Long non-coding RNA from Arabidopsis lyrata subsp. lyrata, 906 nucleotides. RefSeq lists it as uncharacterized. The record is from RefSeq and is a predicted model, not a curated record. The transcript has 4 exons. Lineage: Eukaryota; Viridiplantae; Streptophyta; Magnoliopsida; Brassicales; Brassicaceae.
UCUAAUUAAAAAGUAAAAUUUCUUAAGAUAAUGAUUGGUGUUUGCCCUAAUCUUAAAGCUAUAUAUAUUGUUGAUCGGCCAGAGGAUUAGGUAUUAUUUUUCUGUGGCCAUUAGAUAGUUUUCACCGUUAUGGUUUUUUUAUAUAGCUACUACGAUUCUGAUGAAUCGCGUUGUUUGUCAUGCAAAUAUUGUUUUUAUGGACCUUUAAAGGUCGUGUGCAUAUUGUUUGUGUUGUUUGUUUUAUUUUUUUGCAUUAUUCGAUGAUUUAUUGUUUUGCUAAUUUGGUUUUUUGGUGUGUGUUUCAGUUUUGUAUAACGUGGGAGGUUCCAUCGACAAAGCUCUCUGACGAAGGUGGUGUUGACGAGCAAAGAGCGAGGUUUGGGGAGGUAACCGCUGGUGUUUCCUUCUCCCGAAGAUGCACGAAUGAUAUGUUUUAUUUUAAUAAGACCACACGGGAUUGGCGUAGAAGAGUUGUUGCUCCGUCGUGUUUUACGGAUCGCGUGGGCUUUUGUAAGCAUGUUUUGAGUUGGCUGAAGUAUUCAUUACGACCGAAUAUUUUGAAAGAGGUAUGUUGUGUGUAGUUUACGUAUUUGUUAGAUCCUAUGUCCUAUUAUUAUAGAUGUCUUCGUGUUUUCUAAAUUAUUUGUUUGUUUUCUAUUGUCUACUUAUUUUUUGGGUUUUUUUUUUUUUUUGAUGUAGAGGACUGAGAUUGGAAGCAAAGCUAGGAGUUACAGCAGUAUCUAUUUGUUGUUUAGUUAUAUUGCUAAGGGUAGUGAUGUAUCUGUUGAUAAAUACGGAUCAUAUCCUUUGGUGUUUGGUAUUGAUCAAACCGUACCAAAUUUUGGAUCGGGGCCUAUAUUUGAAGACUCUGAUGAUGAGUAAUUAUUUUAUUUGAAUUUGUUGCUA